RNAcentral lists this ribosomal RNA (558 nucleotides) under uncultured bacterium. RNAcentral's name for it is "bacterial SSU rRNA". It matches the Rfam family "Bacterial small subunit ribosomal RNA", at positions 338 to 916 of the family's 1533-position model. The record is from RNAcentral.
CCUACGGGAGGCAGCAGUAGGGAAUAUUGCACAAUGGAGGAAACUCUGAUGCAGCGAUGCCACGUGAGUGAAGAAGGCCUUUGGGUUGUAAGGCUCUUUCGUCGGGGAAGAAAAUGACUGUACCCGAAUAAGAAGGUCCGGCUAACUUCGUGCCAGCAGCCGCGGUAAUACGAAGGGACCUAGCGUAGUUCGGAAUUACUGGGCUUAAAGAGUUCGUAGGUGGUUAAAAAAGUUGGUGGUGAAAUCCCAGAGCUUAACUCUGGAACUGCCAUCAAAACUUUUUAGCUAGAGUAUGAUAGAGGAAAGCAGAAUUUCUAGUGUAGAGGUGAAAUUCGUAGAUAUUAGAAAGAAUACCAAUUGCGAAGGCAGCUUUCUGGAUCAUUACUGACGCUGAGGAACGAAAGCAUGGGUAGCGAAGAGGAUUAGAUACCCUCGUAGUCCAUGCCGUAAACGAUGUGUGUUAGACGUUGGAAAUUUAUUUUCAGUGUCGCAGCGAAAGCAUUAAACACACCGCCUGGGGAGUACGACCGCAAGGUUAAAACUCAAAUGAAUUGACGG